Long non-coding RNA from Rattus norvegicus (Norway rat), 628 nucleotides. RefSeq lists it as uncharacterized. The record is from RefSeq and is a predicted model, not a curated record. NCBI's taxonomy places the organism in Eukaryota, Metazoa, Chordata, Mammalia, Rodentia, Muridae.
UAAUCCCGGGUGAGAGUGCUUGGUGCCCGCCCCUUGGGCAGGUCUGGGUGGAAGUCCUGCCCCUGCGAUCUGGGCCUGUCCACCUUGCCCUGAUCUCACCCUUAACUCUAGUCUGCAACCUACUAAAGUUGUGCAACUAGGAUCGUGUCCUUUGCGUUUCUGGUUCGUCUUGAGAGUCUUCUGUGUUUGGAAGAAGACACACACAGCAUGCUGACAGAAUUGUCUUUUUUCACCUAAUCUUGUCUCCGAGGGACUCUCCCGUUCAACUUCCUUUUGUGUGCUUGCUUUACGGAGUUUCUCCAGCUGGAGAGAUGGCUCAGAGGUUAAGAGCACUGACUGCUCUUCCAGAGGUCCUGAGUUCGAUUCCCAGCAACCACAUGGUGACUCACAACCCUCUGUAAUGGGAUCUGAUGCCCUCUUCUGGUGUGCCUGAAGACAGCUAUAGUGCACCCAUAUACAUGAAAUAAAUAAAUCAAAAAGAAAAAAAAAAAAGAAAAAGACAGGGCUGGAGAGAUGGCUCUGUGGUUAAGAGCACUGACUGUUUUUCCAGAGGUCCUGAGUUCAAAUCCCAGCAACCACCUGUCAACCAUCUGUAAUGAGAUCUGAUAUCCUCUUCUGUCUGAAGAUA